Molecule: ribosomal RNA, 253 nt
Filed under: uncultured bacterium
Lineage: Bacteria
Description: partial 16S ribosomal RNA
Rfam family: Bacterial small subunit ribosomal RNA
Source: RNAcentral
UACGGGGGGGGCAAGCGUUGUUCGGAAUUACUGGGCGUAAAGGGCUCGUAGGUGGCCAACUAAGUCAGACGUGAAAUCCCUCGGCUUAACCGGGGAACUGCGUCUGAUACUGGAUGGCUUGAGUUUGGGAGAGGGACGCGGAAUUCCAGGUGUAGCGGUGAAAUUCGUAGAUAUUCGGAAGAACACCAGUGGCGAAGGCGGCUCACUGGCCCGGUACUGACGCUGAGGUGCGAAAGCGUGGGGAGCAAACAGG